Populus trichocarpa (black cottonwood) is the source of this 4699-nucleotide long non-coding RNA. RefSeq lists it as uncharacterized. NCBI's taxonomy places the organism in Eukaryota, Viridiplantae, Streptophyta, Magnoliopsida, Malpighiales, Salicaceae. The transcript is spliced from 5 exons. The record is from RefSeq and is a predicted model, not a curated record.
CCAGAGCUCAUCCAUUCUCUUAUCGGGCAUUGUCUGUCGGUGAUUAGUUCUCUUGCAUCACUCAUUUAUUUCGGCGAUCUCUUCUCAUGUAUCGUCGUCUAGUGGUGACUAGUUCUCUUGCUUUACUCAUGUAUUUCGAUGGUGUUUUUUUAUUCUUUAUUUAUCGAACCCUGACUACAUCAUAGAAACAAAACUCCGAUGGCUUCAUCAACUAUAAUAUGUGAAACCCAGCCAUGAAAGGACUUGAAGUCUCACGUUGAGAAAAUUAAAAAGACUCAUUUACGAGAUCUGUUGAGCGACGCUGACCGAUGCAUGUCAACGAUCCUGUGGCCCAUCUCAAGGAAAAGAUUGAUCGCAUGCUCAAUGGGAAGCAUGCGAGUUUGAUUUUAUUUCUGCAAUCUAUUUCAUAUUUACGUUUAUGAGAAAUUGGCGUACAAUAUUUUUUUUUUCCGUGAAGAAAUUCGUUGUCCUUUAUGAAUAUCUGAGGUGUGCUCCUAGAUUUUUUCUUUAUAAUGCCUUAACAGUCCCUUUUGUUAGAGCAAAGGGACAUUACAUGUCCAACUCUCUUGAUUUUACUUGUUAAUAAUCAUAUCACUGAUGUUUGCAAUUUUUUUUUAUUUUUGUAUUUUUUUGACAAUAGGGCUGGAUUCUUUAUUGGAGACGGAGCUGGUGUGGGUAAAGGUAGAACAAUUGCGGGCUUGAUAUGGGAAAGCUGGCACCAUACGAGGAGGAAAGCAUUUUCUUACACAGGUGGAUUUCUGUUGGUUCAGACUAGAAGUUGUUCGAUGCAAGAAGAGACCUGGAUGAUGUCACGCACAUAUUGAAGGUAAAUUCUCAAUUCCUUGCUAGCUUAUGUGAUGAUUUUAUGCAAUAACAAUAUUCUGUUUUAGCUAUUCGACAGAUGGGACUAAUGAUUGAAGUAACAUACUAUUUGAAAUCAGAAUUAUUUGUUCAACAUUGAGUGUGGUGUGGUUUGCUUUAAUGUGUUGAGUUAUCGGAAUUUGGAAAACGAGAGCUUAGGGACCUGAGAGGAUAUUUGUCUUGCUUUGGUGGUAGAAUAAAUGUUUUGUUAAUUAAAUCUUCUGCAAUAUUUUUAUAUGGAUUAGAGGAGCAAAUGCGUAAACGUCAGAUGUGAGUAUACAGCAAAUAUAUUAGGAAAUAUAUUUAGGUUUAGUUUUUCUUUUAUCGUCGCAUUAUUUUUGCUGUUGUUAUUUUUCACAUUAGCUUUUAUUUGUGCUGAAGAGCACUUUUGGCCUUGCCUUGUUUGGAUAUUUCUGAGUAGUGAUCAUCUCAUUGUACAGCGUUUGCAUGCAUGCAAAUGUUUUAUUCUAUUUGUAAAAGCAUAGUAAAGUAGAUAGAGAAGUUUCUCUUAAUAAUCAUUGAAGAGAAACUAUGUUGCAUACAUGUAUUGUGUAUCACAGGGGGUGGAGCUGACAAGAGAUAUUGAUAUGCCUUUCCUUUUCCUUUCCUAUCCUUUUGUUUUGAGAGAAGGGGUAAAGGGGAUCGAUAUUUCCAUCGGCAUUGGUGGCAGCUUCCUAGGUCCUCUUUUUGUGCACACUGCUCUUCAAACAAGUUUUCUGAUGCUUUACUAAAGUUGCAUCGUUCUGUUUUGGUGUCUUAUUCUCAUUGGAUUUUGAUUCUUUUUCAUAAUACAAUUUUUUGACUUUGUUUUACGGCAGAAGCUUGCUUAAAUUAUAGUUGUUUACGAAUGCAAUCAGAUCCAGAGGCUAGCAAAUGUGCUGUAGAACGCCAACAGCGAUUGUAAGCAAUUCCAUGUCACUAUAACUUCAAAAAUCUUUGUUUUUUGUGCUAGUGUUUUACAAGUCUCUCAUCCCACACUCACAGAGGUAGGCUUAUUCAAAUUGUUUUAGCAAGGUCCACUUGCUUUGAGCAGUGAUUACUGAGCUUGUGUGAUAAAUUUUAGAACUUAUUGUAUCCCACCUUAAUUAUGGAAGAGGAGCUCUAAGCCGUUCAUGUUUGAAAUUUUACCCGGGAUUCAGAGAAACUAUGUUGCAUACAGAUAUUGUGUAUCACAAGGGAUGGAGCUGGCAAGAGAUAUUGAUAUGCCUUUUUUUUUCCUUUCAUAUCCUUUUUUUUUCAGAGAAGGGCUAAAAGAGAACAUCCAAAUGCUAGUUGUAUCCUAAAAGUGGCAUUUUUUUUACAUAGUGUAUUUCAGGGGAACAGUGCAUCAUUUAACAUGUUGCCCCUGAGUUAGAAGUACACGUUAUGACUGACUUCUAGAAGUGGUGUUAACAUACAGUGGGCAUGUUUCAUGUGUGGACAGGUAAUCAUAGGUGCAUUCAUGGUUCAAGGGGUCAUUUUGAAUACAUUUAUAUGCCUUGCAAUUGCUCUGUCUCUCUUUCUGUGACUAUAACGUGUGACCAUUCUGUCACUUAUUUUUAGACCCUCUGCAGUUGCCAAGCAUGUGGUCGCAGUUAGCAUUAAUCUUGUGGUAUAACGAAUUCAUUUUGUCUGCACUCUCAUAUUCUUUAGACUUUGGGAUAAUUGAAGUUCUAUGGUAUUUCAAAAUUCAUUUUCGCUCCUCCCUUUUUAGUGUUUUCUAUUCAUGGCUUUUCAUUCUUCUUUUCAUCUUUCAAAGAUGCCUUUUUUUUUUAUUUAACCACUCUGGCUACUUGUAUACUCCAACUGUCUUUUACCAAUGCAGUUUGGGGAAAAGUUUGGCAUCGAUCCUAUUAAUGCUUUUGCAUUCUGGGACUAGGUUGGUGGCAGAUUUAGUGGUGGGUUUGCUCUCAUUUUGUGGACAGAAACAUGGAGAACUUCAUGCAGAAUCCUAAUUGUGUUGUUGGUGUGUUGCCUUUGUUCUCCAAUAUGGUUUCUCAAAUUGCUGGGAAUUAUGGUAACUUCUGAUCGUUUUAAUUUACAAAGUUAGGUUUCUCUUGCACCGUUAUUUUAGAGGCUGCAAGAAACAAUGUCAAAAGUGGCAAGAGUUCUCAAUCUCUAGCAUAGAAAGAUGUAUAACAUACAAUUAAUCACUUUUUUGCCAUGAAGUGUUCAAAGAGUUUUGCUUCGUUGAUUCCCUCGAUAUCUACUUUAGUUUCCUACUCAUCCCCUUGUUACUUGCUUAUAAUGUGUUUGCUAUUUUGUUAGGAUUUGUUGAUAACAUGAGUUUUUGAUGUGUUUUAUGAGAUUCUAGUUACAUAUUGAUAACAUUUUGACUUUCUCCUUCAGGUACUUUUAGGUCUGUUAAGUGUGUGAAAUGUUUUAUUUUUUGGAUAUCCUGCAGGAGUGACUACUUCUCCCCAAGAUCUAUUUGAGUUGCGACCAAUUUUUAGAAUUCUUAACAACUGUAACUUUAUGAGUGGUCCUAUAACUCAUUCUACAACUCCUUUAGACUAUAUUACCUUAUUCUAAAGCCGUGAAGAAAUUUGCACCUCACAUUCAACAAGCAAGCCUACUUGAACUCUAACUCUCUUUCCUUUGGUAUUGAAUAUGUAAUAAAAAGGAGAGAAAAUGUGCCUUUUAAAGUUUUCAAUGCUCGUUUAUUUUACUUAAAUCUAGGUCAGCAUGGAAAGUAAUGGUAAUGGGCAUCGAUUGAUGGUGUACCACUUCUCUUUGAGACUGGAAAAAUUGAAUUUGGCAAACCAGGAGCAAAUAGCCGUCAUAGCUUUUAUCAACUAAUUCACCAGGUCUGGAUGGAAAGUAAUGACAAUGGAGCAUCUAUUGAUGAUGUAUUACUUCCCUUUGAGACUGGAGAAAUUGAAUUGAAUUUGGCAAACCAGGAGUAAAUGGUCGACAUAGCUUUUAUCAAAUAAUUCACCAGGUAAUUUCUUAUUUCAUUAUACAUUUGGUUGAAGUAAAAUUAGGUCAUUGUAUAUGUAUUUUGAUUUUAAAAAAUCAAUUUUGGAAUUCAAAUGAUUCCCUGGCUACCUAAAUUCAUUUUUUAAAGAAAUCUAUGCAUACUUCGUCUAAGUGGGAUAAGGAUACAUUUAUUCACUUCUUGAUGUUUUUAUUCAAAAUUUGCCCUUGUUUUCCCCCACAUACCCUGUUUUGGUAAACCUGAUAAUUUUGAUACUCAUGGUGCACAUGCAACUCGACAACAUGUCUUUUUUUUACGGAGCAAGAAGUGUAGUUUUGCAUUUUGGAUGGUUUCUAAUUGAACAUUAGCAUAUUCUCUCCUAAUAUGCGUGUCAUUAGCUUUAGUUCUCAUUUGUUGUAUACUAACCUCGGUGUUCGCACUUCACAGUGAGGCCCAUUUAUAUUUUUUUUUUUGUAGAAAAGAUAAUGUUUAGGUAUUGAAAUGGAGUUAAAAAAUAACAUAAAAAAUUGUUCAUGGUAAAUGUGUAACAAAGCUAGUUAAGAUUAAACCAACAUGAAAUAUCUUGCAAAACCUGCGAUCCAAAUUAUAUGACUGGAACAAUCCGAUAAAAACAUAAAAAGUUAUUAGACCUGAAAUACUCAAUCUAGAAAAACCAUGAAAUUUAAUUUUCAUUAAAUUAAAUAUUAAAUGAUGAAAAUAAUUGAAAAAUAGCAAUUCAAAAAAUAAGAAUCAAAAUUAUCAUUACUACUAUUAUUAAUAAGUAAUAUCAUCACUAUUACUACAAUUAUCAUCAUCAUUAUCAUUACUAUUAUUAAAAUUUUUCUUGUUGUUGUUAUUGUUAUUAUUAUCAUCGCUAUCACUAUUGCUAUUAUUAUUACAAGUAGUAUUAUAAGUAUCAUUAUUAUUAAUAAUAUUGUUACU